CGACGCUGGCGGCGUGCUUAACACAUGCAAGUCGAACGGUAUUGGGCCCUUUCGGGGUACACGAGUGGCGAACGGGUGAGUAACACGUGGGUGAUCUGCCCUGCACUUCGGGAUAAGCCUGGGAAACUGGGUCUAAUACCGGAUAGGACCAUGGACUUCACGGUUUGUGGUGGAAAGCUUUUGCGGUGUGGGAUGGGCCCGCGGCCUAUCAGCUUGUUGGUGGGGUAAUGGCCUACCAAGGCGACGACGGGUAGCCGGCCUGAGAGGGUGUCCGGCCACACUGGGACUGAGAUACGGCCCAGACUCCUACGGGAGGCAGCAGUGGGGAAUAUUGCACAAUGGGCGCAAGCCUGAUGCAGCGACGCCGCGUGAGGGAUGACGGCCUUCGGGUUGUAAACCUCUUUCAAUUGGGACGAAGCGCAAGUGACGGUACCUAUAGAAGAAGCACCGGCCAACUACGUG
Molecule: ribosomal RNA, 462 nt
Filed under: uncultured bacterium
Lineage: Bacteria
Description: bacterial SSU rRNA
Rfam family: Bacterial small subunit ribosomal RNA
Source: RNAcentral